Molecule: ribosomal RNA, 492 nt
Filed under: uncultured bacterium
Lineage: Bacteria
Description: partial 16S ribosomal RNA
Rfam family: Bacterial small subunit ribosomal RNA
Source: RNAcentral
AUUGAACGCUGGCGGCAUGCUUUACACAUGCAAGUCGAACGGUAACAGGCCUUCGGGUGCUGACGAGUGGCGAACGGGUGAGUAAUGCAUCGGAACGUACCCAGAGGUGGGGGAUAACGCAGCGAAAGCUGUGCUAAUACCGCAUGUGAUCUGAGGAUGAAAGCGGGGGACCGAGCAGCAAUGUUUGGCCUCGCGCCUUUGGAGCGGCCGAUGUCGGAUUAGCUAGUUGGUGGGGUAAAGGCCUACCAAGGCGACGAUCCGUAGCUGGUCUGAGAGGACGACCAGCCACACUGGGACUGAGACACGGCCCAGACUCCUACGGGAGGCAGCAGUGGGGAAUUUUGGACAAUGGGCGCAAGCCUGAUCCAGCAAUGCCGCGUGCGGGAAGAAGACCUUCGGGUUGUAAACCGCUUUUGGCAGGAACGAAACGGUGUCCGCUAAUACCGGGCGCUAAUGACGGUACCUGCAGAAUAAGCACCGGCUAACUACGUG